UGAGUACGAGAUGCUACGGCAUCGAAGCAGUCCAUGUCAUACUUCCAAGAAAAGCUCGCACUGUCAGAAACAAAUGAAUGCCUGUACCAUAACCGACACAGGUGGGUAGGUAGAGUAUACUAAGGGGCGCGAGAUAACUCUCUCUAAGGAACUCGGCAAAAUGACUCCGUAACUUCGGGAGAAGGAGUGCCUUAUUUAUAAGGUUGCAAUAACCAGCUCCAAGCAACUGUUUAUCAAAAACACAGGUCUCCGCUAAGUCGUAAGACGAUGUAUGGGGGCUGACGCCUGCCCAGUGCCAGAAGGUUAAAGAAGUUGGUUAGCGCGAGAAAUCAAGCGAAGCUGAUAACUGAAGCCCUGGUGAACGGCGGCCGUAACGAUAACGGUCCUAAGGUAGCGAAAUUCCUUGUCGGGUAAGUUCCGACCCGCACGAAAGGCGUAAUGAUUUGGAGGCUGUCUCGGAGAGGGACUCGGUGAAAUAGACUUGUCUGUGAAGAUGCGGACUACCUGCACCAGGACAGAAAGACCCUAUGAAGCUUUACUGUAACUUGAGAUUGAAAUUGGACUUUAUUCGCGCAGUAUAGGUGGGAGGCAUUGAAAAUAUUCUUGCGGGAAUAUUGGAGCCAUCAGUGAGAUACCACUCUUGUAAUGUUAGAUUUCUAACUUUGUAUCAUUAUCUGGUCAAAGAACAGUUUCAGGCGGGCAGUUUGACUGGGGCGGUCGCCUCCUAAAUGGUAACGGAGGCGCACAAAGGUUUCCUCUGAACGGGUAGAAAUCGUAUCUAGAGUGUAAAGGCAUAAGGAAGCUUGACUGUGAGACCUACAAGUCGAGCAGGGACGAAAGUCGGUCUUAGUGAUCUGACGGUGCUGAGUGGAAAGGCCGUCACUCAACGGAUAAAAGUUACUCUAGGAUAACAGGCUGAUCUCCCCCAAGAGUUCACAUCGACGGGGAGGUUUGGCACCUCGAUGUCGGCUCAUCGCAUCCUGGGGCGGUAGUACGUCCCAAGGGUUGGGCUGUUCGCCCAUGAAAGCGGUACGCGAGCUGGGUUCAGAACGUCGUGAGACAGUUCGGUCCAUAUCCGGUGUAGGCGUUAGAAUAUUGAGAGGAGCCUUCUUUAGUACGAGAGGACCGAGAAGGACAUACCUCUGGUGUACCAGUUAUCGUGCCAACGGUAAACGCUGGGUAGCCAUGUAUGGAGUGGAUAACCGCUGAAAGCAUCUAAGUGGGAAGCCCACCUCAAGAUAAGUAUUCUCAU
RNAcentral lists this ribosomal RNA (1252 nucleotides) under metagenome. RNAcentral describes it as "bacterial LSU rRNA". It matches the Rfam family "Bacterial large subunit ribosomal RNA", at positions 1564 to 2817 of the family's 2925-position model. The record is from RNAcentral.